Myzus persicae (green peach aphid) is the source of this 2106-nucleotide RNA transcript. It is a transcript of the gene named alpha-N-acetylgalactosaminidase-like, with no coding region annotated. NCBI's taxonomy places the organism in Eukaryota, Metazoa, Arthropoda, Insecta, Hemiptera, Aphididae. The record is from RefSeq and is a predicted model, not a curated record. The transcript is spliced from 11 exons.
AUAUUUGAUGUAUUCACGGUUAUUUGUCUUACAAAUUACAACAAAAUAAGAAAAUCGUUUGGUGAGAAAUCAAUUUUUUACGUGGGAAUAUCCUAUUUUACUGUUGAGAAGCGUACCUAUACCUAUAAUUAAAAAUGGGAACUUGUAUAUUAUAAUAUUAUACUUUAAAGACUAGGCUUGGGUUCUCCUAUGAUAAAAAUAUGUAUUAUAAUUUGUUGGUAAAUUCAAUACGAUUUUGUAUGGUUUAAGGUGGAUAGUCCUUACGUUUAGAGAUAUAAGUUUCUCUUAUCUCAAAUUUUACGUUUCAACAGUAUUGGGUCACUGCAGGCCAUGUUAUUCCCCAUAACCACGCAUACAAAUAAUAAUCAUUAUGGUUUUGUUUUAAUUUUUACGAUAUUCUAAUGAGGAGAGUUUAUCAGUUGUUUUAAUUAGGUAAGGUAAAUAAAAAAAGGAAGUACCUAGGCAUAGGUUAGGCACCUAAUAUAAGUAAUUGUAAACGUUCGUUAACAUUUUUUCACGUUCGUGCAAUUAUAAAAUUAUAAUAUGAAAGAACAAUUAUUCAACUUUUAUUUCUAUUGUACAUUUUAAGUUUUGAGACAAUUAUUUUUACUAGUUUCAAACAUAAAAAAAACUAUUUUAUUAACUUGAAAAUGAUUGUAAAUUUAAUAGUGACUUUCGCCACGAUCACGUUGAUUGUCUAUUUUCAUGGUGUUUGUGGACUCGACAACGGAUUGGCCUUAACACCACCGAUGGGAUGGCUCGCGUGGGAGAGAUAUAGGUGUAUCCUCGACUGUGAAACGUAUCCCGAUGAAUGUAUUAGCGAAAAGCUGUUUAUGAGAGCUGCGGACUUGCUGGUCAGCGAAGGCUACGCAGACUUGGGUUAUGAAUACGUCAUCGUGGAUGACUGUUGGUUGGCCACGAACCGAUCGGCAGACGGUAUGUUAGAAGCUGACAAGAAAAGAUUCCCAAGCGGCAUCAAAGCUCUGUCAAACUACAUACACUCGAAAGGACUGAAGUUCGGUUUGUACCAAGACUUGGGCUCGAAAACUUGCGCUGGUUUUCCUGGCGUGUUGGGCCACGAGGCGAAGGAUGCCAAGCGAUUCGCCGAGUGGGAAGUCGAUUACGUAAAACUCGAUGGGUGCUUUUCGGACGUCAGGGACAUGGACAAAGGUUACGUUGAAUUCGGAAGACACUUGAACAACACUGGGAGGCCCAUGGUUUACUCGUGCAGCUGGCCGGCGUACCAAGAAUUCAAAGGCAUCCGGAUCGAUUACGCUUCGAUAGCUGAACACUGUAACCUGUGGCGCAACUACGGUGACAUUGACGACUCGUGGAGUUCCGUUAUGGACAUCGCCGAUUAUUUUGCCACAAAACAAGAACUCUGGGCUCAGUACGCAGGACCCGGACACUGGAACGAUCCGGAUACGCUCUUGAUCGGAAACUUCGGCCUGUCGUUCGAUCAAAGCAAAUCGCAAAUGGCCAUUUGGGCCGUGUUGGCCGCUCCUUUGCUCAUAUCCACCAAGUUGUCUGCCGUACGUCCGGAGUUCAAAGAAAUAUUGCAGAACAAAGAAAUCAUCAAGAUAAGUCAAGACCCUAUUGGCGUGCAAGGCACUAGAAUAUAUAGGGACCAGGAUAUUGACAUUUGGAGCAGACCAGUAGGACCUGUUUACAACGGAAUUUGUUCUUGUGCUGUAGCGUUUGUAAGCCGUCGCGCGGAUGGUGCUCCUCACUCUUACAAAAUUACAGUGGAACACUUGGGGAUGCUGAAUCCCAACGGUUACACAAUCAAGAAUUUGUACGGCGGGAAAUACGCAAACAAUAUCAGUAAUCAAUAUGUCACGCGAAAGUCUGUAGUUCGUGUACGAGUUAAUCCGUCAGUCAAAUGACUUGUGUUUUAAACUGUGUAUAAGACAACGUACAUUUUUAAUUUAAUAUCGCAAAGCAGGAUUUUAUUGAGAAUUUGAUUUAUAAAAUUUGAAUUUCAAACAAGAGCUGUGUUCCUGAAAUUCGAAGUGAACAAGGUGAAGGAGGGAUAUGUUACUGCACUCAACCACACGCUAUCUUAACUAUUCGCCUUCUAAUUAUUCGAGCUGAAUUUCGAUCGUG